RNAcentral lists this long non-coding RNA (7907 nucleotides) under Equus caballus (horse). RNAcentral's name for it is "lncRNA (ENSECAG00000053627.1)". Lineage: Eukaryota; Metazoa; Chordata; Mammalia; Perissodactyla; Equidae. The record is from RNAcentral.
GCUCUGUAAACCUGGAAGCUUAUCUGUAUGAUUGCUGUUAAAGAUCACUUGGUAGCCGAUUACCAAGAGAUAGCCAACUCUCUCAGGGAAUUUUUGGAAGACCAUCAAGGCUCACAUGUUUAACAGGAUGCUGGAGAACAAAUCUUCGAGCUCUGGAAGGCUGGGCAACAGAAAUCGCAUGGCUCAUAUGCUGCUGCUGCGAUGAGUGUGACUUCCAUCUGCCCUGGCGUUACUGCAUCCCUCAUGCUCUCAUCAGCCUGGAAGGAUUGGCCUGGGCAGUGAGAGGAAGAUCUGCCCUUUUGAUCUCCCCUAACUCCCAAGGCGACACACAAAAAGAAGUCCCAAAGAGUGACUGGGGUAGAAUAGGACAGAAAUUUGGAUGCAAGAAAGCCCAAACUAUGACAUAUGUCCACUACAAUAAUUUUAUUUCAUCAAUCAUCAUCUAAUGACUACUGGAUAUAAGCCACACCCUGUGCCAGGUCUUAGAGACCCAAAGAGCCCUCCCUGUGGCCACAAGACGAUGGAUCAGCAGGGACCAUAACAGAAGGCAAGAGCUCAGUUAGAAGACUAUUGUAAUACUCCAGUCAAGAGGCUGCUGUCACACCAGAGAAACUGUCUCUUUUGCCUGGCACUUGUUCUUAUCCAAAGCUGAGUGUAGAAUUAUUCAGGAUGACUAAUGUUUCACCUCAGUCCUAAUGUCCUCCCACCGCAGCUUGAGAGACAGGAGUCCCCAAAGGAUCACAAAGUAACGAAUCUGGGCAGCCAGUGGAAAUGGAUCUCAUUCCAUCUCCAGCAGGUCCUGAGUCUUGUUAUGUAAACCUAGGGGUGUCCACAAGACACAAGCUCCUCUAAUCUAGGAGUCACAGGCUCGAGACCUUCCUCACUCACACCAAGCAGAUGGAGAAGAUUCAAGUUUUGCCACCAUGAAAGUAGGGUCAGAUGUUCAAGUGAAUUCCCAGUUGCCCACUGUGAAUUUAACGCCAAAGUAGCCAGAAGUUGGGAGACUAAGAAGGCAGGACUAUCCUAUGAACUCCGAUAAAUACACAGGGAGCUCUGUUCAGUUUUCCUAGCCGUUUGCAGCUGCACACAUGGGGUAUGGGAAUGUCGACACAUCCUUGCUCUGAGUGUAAUUAAUGACAAUGUGCCCAAUGUGCCAUUGACUCAGACAGAACACCUGACGGAGAUUCCGCUCGAGGCUUCUAUGGUCUCAGGGUGUGGAUGUGCCCGCAUGAACCACGCUGGAGUGUGUGAACAUCACCCUCCUGUUCCUGGCUGACUCAGAAGCAGAUCUAGGAGUCAGAAGACCUGGUUCAAGGCCUAGCCUUGCAAGGCAGCUAAAAACAAGCUUGUUAAUAAUCUCCCAGAGACCCAUCGUGCUCACUACAGGCCAGGCUCUGUCCUAAAUCCCUACAGGUAUUAAUUCAUUUAAUCCUCACAACAACUCCUGAAGCCAGUGCUAUUGUUAUUUGUAUUUGACAACUGAGGCGACUGAGGCAUGGAGGCUAAGCCACUUGCCCAUGCUUACACAGCUACAAUAAUACAAUAAACAGCAUUCAACCCCAGCCCAGCAGCUCCCACGCCUGCGCACUGUUCGCUACUGAGAAGCACGUAGAGAAUGUGGGCCAAAGCCCUGUGGAUCCCUCCAUUGCCAUCUGAAUACAAGUGCUUCUGUUGUUAGCGCUCUGACCGUCAUAGUGAUGGUGAUCCUGUGGGGGGACAUGAGCUCCCUUGGGAAGGGGCAGGUACAAGCACCCCAGCCAUACAUCAAGUCUACAUCUCUUAUUGCUACCCCAAACAAGGGGGUCUUGCUGCUUUCGUAACCAGAUGCCACCAUGGUGAAACUCCUAUCCUGGUGCCUCCCAUUUCCUUCCAGUCAUCAUCACAAACCUCCAACACACCUCCUGUGGAGAAACACCUCUUUGAAAGGCAGUCGCAGUGAGUGGCAUGCUGGCACAGAGAUGGCACUGCACACCUGCAGGCUUUCCAGUGCUAAGCCUAGCACCGCCUGCCUGUGUGCCCUCCCAUGCCGCUCCCACCGCAGCAAGCUGGGCCCACCCCUGUUUCCUCACUGCCAGCUUCAGUGGGCCAGCAAGGGCGUGGCUGACAACAGCUUUGAUUGUUGAACACACUGCCCAGAGUGGCAAUUGCUGCAGAGGACCCCAUCCAUCUGAAAGACAUCACCAACCAAACUCCGGCCCUGGGGUCAAGGUAGUGAUCUGAGAGCUCAGCAUCUGCAGAGCUUAUCUGUUUCUAUUGUUCUGUUGAGUGAUCCUGGCAACCGGUACAGGAAUUUACAUGUAAUGGAAAAAAACAGGGAUCUCUUUCUGGUAUCAGGUUUCUUGAUCCAGGGACUAAAAGCAUAUCAUUAGGACUUGUUUUCUCCUAGUCUUUUAGCUCUGCCAUCCACUGAUGGCUCCCUUCUUGAGCUCCAUGUUGUUCCUCUCUCCAUAUUGAAGGCUAGAUGGGUUUUGCUCAGUGGAAAAAAACCCUUCCAGUGACUUGCACAAAAAUUCCCAAGAUUCACUCUGAUUGGAUGGCUUAGAGUAUGUGCCUGUCUUUGACCCAAGCAUUGUUGCCAUGAGGGAUGAGCUCUACUCCUGAUGAAUGAAGACAGGACAGAUUCCCAAACAAAAAUCAGAGGUCUUACUAAGGGGAACAGACACUGAGUAGUCAAUCCACAGAUGUCCAGUAUAGGUACCCGAGGAGAUGAUCCUCAAUGAGACCUGGAAAAACGAAGUGAUAUCUGCAGGGCCACACAGCAAGUGAGUGGUGAGACGGGGUGGAGAGGCAGGUGUUAGACCCAGUCCUUCCAUCUUUAAGAGCCACUCUGUACGUGUGACCUGACUUAAUCCUGGAUGUUCCAGUUGUGGCUAAAAUGUCAAUGGGAAAGCCAGAGACUUUACAACUUUGUGUACAUGCAGAGACUAUCCUUGGGAUCACUUUCACUUUAUGGCAAAGCUGUUGCCUAUCCAUUCACUACCCUCAUUUUCCGGCUCCCUUAGCUCUUGUCUUGCUUCUACUAGAUUACGGCAACAGCCUUCCAACUCUCACCCUACUUCUAGCUCUACAGUUUUUCCUACCCACCACAGGGAGCAAUCUUUCCCUGCCCAGAGCCCUUCAACACAGAGGCCCUGCUGGCCUCUGCAGGCCUUUACCCUGCCACAUCCAGCUCAUGCUCUGCAUCCAGCCCAAGGAGAUGCUGACUUCCCCUAUCUCAAGACAUCAUUACCUGAGGUUGCACCAUCAAAUGAAUCACCCCUUUAAGAAUAAGGAACCAUGUAAAAUGGGGAAAUAUGGUUCUUACCACUUCCAAAAUUGUUCCAGGCUCUACAGCAUCUGGCCAUUGGCAGUGCCCUCUGCCCAGAGUAUUCCUCAGCUGCACACUCCCCUCAGCUGGGCUAACCCCUUCUGAUCCUUCAUGUCAGCUUACAUCUCACCUCCCCCAGGAAGUCUUUCCAUUCACCCUCUUAGGAGCACCUCAGUUUCUUCUAUUGACUAUAGAAUGUGGUCUUGUUAGGACAGUAACUACAGUGGAGGCCCACCUCCCACAGAUGUGAGAGGCUGAUGCCUACUGUGAUCCUCCCCAACAGGCAAGGAUGAUGUGUGGCCUACGCUUGGCCACUGCAAUGCUUUCUUCUGGAACACACCAGGUGGAAGAAACAGCUGAAGGUUUUUCAUCCUGUUAGUGGGAGAGAAGUUGUUCCUCCUCCUUCUAGCUCACAGGUGUUUUCAGCUUCCAGACUCCAUGGAGUGUGAACAUGAUAGAGAUAAAGGACAAAUCCCAAGAGCACCUUCCUACCAGGCAACAGGGCCCCUGGAGGAUCCUGCUCCAGCCUCACGCAAGAGACUCGGUCCGCAUGGCUGUUGUCGUGAGACCUGGUGCUUUGGGCUCCUGUUCAGCUUCUAUGCCUCUCACGUUCCCCUUCCAUAUCCAUGUUCUUUUCAGAACAGAGUGGCAGGUUUUCUAAGGUUCCUCAAUCACUCCUUUCUCUGCCAUGCGUCAUCAAAAAUGCACCAAGAUUGUCUCUCCAGUUUCCAUUUCUCAAAAAGCAAUAUCAGAGACAUUGCUCUGUUUUCAUUCAAACUGAAAUAAUAUACCAACUUGUUUAAUCCUGGAGAGCCAGAAAGGAAAUUCCUGUUUACCCAAAAUCCAGAAAAUAAGGAAACUCAAAGAGCCAGACAACUGUCUACACGUCACUUCUCUGAGAAAGAGACAGAUACAAUGGAAAUAGUUUGAAUGGGGAAUUUAGUCCCCAAAGCAAUUCCCAGAGCAAGCUGCAGUCUUGCUUCUAGCUGACACUCUUGUAUCUACAGACCAUAUGAGACAAUCAAACAAUAAGAAGAAAAUUUCCAUUCACUGCCAGGUUCUGGCCCAACGGAGUCCACGAUACUUUUGUUUUAUACAGGCAGAAUUUAGUAGGUAGAUCUACCCAUUCACUGAAUUUGUUGAACAUUUACCAUGGGGUAAAUAUAGUACCCCCCCAUAUGGGGUCUCACAUAAAUAGAAUAGUCCAGCUAUUUGGUUUUGAGGACACACUCUGCAUGUUGGAAGCCCAGCACAAGUAACCAUCAUACAGAGCAAUGUAGGAGCAAUGAGCUAGAAGAGACGUUCAAAGCGUUGGAGGAGUUAGCUGCAGGUGUGACAGCUUCUAUUUAGGGCUACAUGGAGGGCUUCUUGGAGGAGGAAGGAGCAUUUGUAUUGAAUUCUAAGGAUGGAUGAUAAUUUGACAGGUGGAUGUGGCAGCUGGUUGGGAUAGUGGAAGACAGGCAUUCUAGGUGGGAGGAGUCAGGAGCAAAGAUGUACCAGCCUAAAUUAUAGCAGAGUGCAACAUGGUAGCAUUUCACAGACACAGUGUUGAGUGAAGGAAGCCAGCUGCUGAAGACCCACUACUGUAGAAUUCCAUUUCACAAAGUUUUAAAGUACACAAACUGAACAAUAGCGAUUAGAGACUUCAAUUUAGUGGUAAAAGGAUACAGAAAAACAAAGGAAUCUUUAUUAUAAAGACUAGCAGAGUCAUUCCUCUUAGGAGGGGUGAGGGCAUUGUAACCUGUCUGUUGAUCUGGGUGGCGAUUAUACAGGUAUUUAUUCUCCAAUAAUUCAUUAAGCUCUAUAGGUCUUUUCCAUGCACUUUUAUAUUUUUAUGUUAUAUUUUAUAGCAGUCCACAGCAACCUCCUCUGUCCAUGCUCUGCCAAAGGUGAAACAGUUCAUGUGUCCCAUAUCUUCUUGAAGGGGUUUGUCAUCUCUUGAAUUUAGACCACCUCGUCUCCUUGUGACCUUAGUUCUCUGAUGGGCUCAAGAAAAUUUAUGAUUUUGUAGAUUAUCUGUCUUUCUACAUUGCUAGGGUAGGAGUGAUGUUCUCUUGUUGCUUUUUACAUCCUAAGUGGGAUUUUUAUAUUAUAUCUCAUAAUAAAAACUCGUUUGGAAAAAAGCAGUAUUGGCCGGAAAGUGUAAGGCUGGACAAGAGGGUGACUGAAGAAUUGUCAGGCAAGCAAAAUUGAGGGCUGGGCUGGAAGGAGAAGGGCUUGCAAUGUCAGGCUGAGGGAUGUGGUUGAAUUAGGAAGGCAAUGGGGAGCUGCUUAUCAGCAGGAAAGGAGAGAUGUUGGGGCACAGAGCCAUCAGCAGGGGCCAGGAUGAGAGUCCAGUUAAACCACACAAAGGCCUGAUCAGUGGAGGGCAGGAGAAAUGGGAAAGAAGGGGAGAGAGAUGAGCAGCAUUUGUGGCUGAUGAAAAGGAGGGAGUAAAGCCCUCAAUGUGUUAAGAGUCUAAGAGCAUCCUAGGCAGGAGUGGUGUGGGAGCAUGCCAAGAUAUCAUCAGUCAAGAGGUGAUGAUUGGAGUGACAUUGAUACCACAUUUGGUGUGAGGAUAAGGACAUCUUCAGACAGUUUUAAAUGCGGGAAAUAUUAGAACUCCCUCCCAGAGCUGCCAGGGAUUAAGAAAGCACGGAAGGGCUUGGUGACACCUAACAGGUAAUGUUCUGCCUGGAAGGUGAGAAGCCCAUGCUACAAACAGGACUUGUAUAUAAUUAGUUUGUUCCUGGCAUUCAUAUUUAAUGUCCUGUCUUCUACUUUGCAACUGAUUAACAUCAAUGAGCUGACUCUCAUACCCACCGUCUGUUAGUAGCUAUCUUUCCUGUCAUCCAGCAUCUUUUUAUGGUCCUGGGGAUAACCACGAGUUUAGGUUCUUGGAGCCCCCGGGAUCUUUUGCUUGAUGUCACGUCCUCGACACAUCAUUUAUUCUGGUAGACCUUACUCUUGUUGGAGUACAAACUGAAGGCUCCAUCCUUUACAUUUGAAAUUCAACUUUGGAAUCUGGAAGAACAGCCCUGUGUUAUUGUAACAAACAGCAUUGUUGAUUCUGUGACUUUUAGUGAUGCCUCAACCUUACUCCUAAACCUCACUGUAACUUUUUAUAUUGGAUUUCUUUGAAUAUUUAAUGCCUUAAAACUUAUGUAAAAAACUCAGCCAAAACAGUAAGGGAAAGUUCCGUUUUGUUCCUAGAGCUACACUGAACUAAAUUCUUCAAAAUAUUAAAAAAUAAACACCAGUUUGUAGGUGAGGGAGUUCUUUCUUUUCUAAUUGUCUGGGUUUAAUUUGCACGAUGUGCUCCUCCAUUCCACGGGAGAGAACUGAAAAACAUUCCUUGUGGUGCUCUGAGAGCUCCUGGGGACCAGGACGGAAGAUGAUCCCACCACCUUUACCAGAUCUCAGAGAGGCUGGGGAAGUUGUAUGUUAAGAUGAAAUGGACCUGUACAGAGAGGUGUGUCAUUAGGGUGGAGGCACAGAGGAAAAAACAUGGUACAUGUAUGGGUUUGUUAGUAAGGUUUUAAUACUUAGAAUCAGCAAUGCCUUGGUCUGUCUCCCUGACUCUCACGCAGACGCUAGGAAGGGUGACAGGGCCCCAGAAGCUCUGGAUGUACAACUGGCAGUGCUUAAUUUAUUUUAUCAUGUUCUUGCUUUUCCUUGACUUGUCCUAAUAUUGCUAAUUUUUUCUUUAUUCAGAAGAUUGAGCAAAGCAAAGGUUUUAAAAUUUUUAAUGGGUAACAUAUACAGUAAAUGGUAUAAAGAGCACUGAUCUUAAAUGUUCAGCUAAGUAAGUUUUUUGUAAGUGUGAAAAUAAAUGAAGGCCAGCCAAUUAAGAAUAAAUAAAGGCUACUUAUUCAGAGCUUGCCAUAGAAAGGGAGUCAGCACCCUCGCUUGCCUUUGGUAGACUCAAAGGCAGGCAGAGGAGUGGCAAACCUUUCUAGUGGAAAAAAUAGAAGGCUUCCAGUGUGCUCUGAUUAGAUGUUGUGGGCAUGGGGGAGCUGGAGUAACUAGAAGCAGGGCAUCGUAUGUGACUGGUUGGGGGAGCAUGUUUGAUAUUUCGCUUUCUCUGGUCAGUCCUGAAUUGGAAGCAGGUUGCAGGGGCAGUGGUGGCGUGGUGGGGGUGGGGGUGAUGGUAGCGAAAUAAUAGAAAAGCAGACAGUUACUGACCAAGUCCUGACUCUGUUCUGGACCAAUUGCUGCAGAGGUUAUGGUUUGGCUUUGGCUUCCUGGGCUGGUUGCUGCAGAGGUUGUGGUUUGGCUUUCUGGGCUUCUUAUGUAAGUCAGAGUCCUGUUGUCAUAUACGGUCUGGCCAUUGUCCAUUUGCAUAUUCAGUCUCUCACGUGUGUGUAUAUUCAUGUCACCAUCAUCUAGAACCAAGGGAAACUUGACUUGUGUAUUCGAAAUUAUUUAUUUAGUGUUUCUGAGCACAUAUAGUACUAAAAAUGUCAGAGGCACUUCCUGUUUAUGGAAGGCCUGUCCCCCCGCUCUGUAUUUAGGGAGGUAAUUGCUUAAAGUGGUCAACAUAACACAAGGAGUUACAUCCAGGAAAAAGUGCUUGCCAGAUGUUCACACAAGAUGCAACUUUUUCUUUUCUUACUUUUAG